Molecule: ribosomal RNA, 465 nt
Filed under: uncultured bacterium
Lineage: Bacteria
Description: partial 16S ribosomal RNA
Rfam family: Bacterial small subunit ribosomal RNA
Source: RNAcentral
CUACGGGGUGCUGCAGUGAGGAAUUUUGCGCAAUGGGGGAAACCCUGACGCAGCAACGCCGCGUGAGUGAAGAAGGCCUUUGGGUCGUAAAGCUCUGUCAACAGGGAAGAAAUUAUAAUUAUUUAAUAGAUAAUUGUAUUGACGGUACCUGUGGAGGAAGCGCCGGCUAACUCCGUGCCAGCAGCCGCGGUAAUACGGGGGGCGCAAGCGUUAUUCGGAAUUAUUGGGCGUAAAGGGCGCGCAGGCGGUCUUGUCCGUCAGGUGUGAAAGCUCGGGGCUCAACCCCGGAAGUGCACUUGAAACAGCAAGACUUGAAUACGGGAGAGGAGAGAGGAAUUCCUGGUGUAGAGGUGAAAUUCGUAGAUAUCAGGAGGAACACCGAUGGCGAAGGCAUCUCUCUGGACCGAUAUUGACGCUGAGGCGCGAAGGCGUGGGUAGCGAACGGGAUUAGAUACCCGCGUAGUC